UUGUGGAUCGAUGAAGAACGCAGCAAAAUGCGCGUCGUUAUGUGAACUGCAGGACACAUGAACAUCGACAAUUCGAACGCAAAUGGCGGCCCUCG
RNAcentral lists this ribosomal RNA (95 nucleotides) under Microcephalothrips abdominalis. RNAcentral's name for it is "partial 5.8S ribosomal RNA". It matches the Rfam family "5.8S ribosomal RNA", at positions 29 to 122 of the family's 154-position model. Rfam says of the family: 5.8S ribosomal RNA (5.8S rRNA) is a component of the large subunit of the eukaryotic ribosome. Lineage: Eukaryota; Metazoa; Arthropoda; Insecta; Thysanoptera; Thripidae. The record is from RNAcentral.